CUUUAGUCGGGUUAAUUUUGCCUGCUGUGUUGACCACACCAGUGGUGAAGCCGUAAGAAGGAGAACUGGAAGGAAGCCCCUUGAAAACAAAGAGAAAGGAAACUUGGUGAAACUGGCAAAUACAGGCAGCUCUUGUGAUGACAAAGACUUCCCCAAGGCUUCUUCUCACCAGUUAAUGGAGACUCAGUGGAUGCAAAGCUUACAACUAUGAAAACAAUACCUGUCUGACCUGGUAAACAGAUCAAUAGAACUGUAGGGCCCCCACAAGAUAUAGCUGAUUCCCAACCCCCGAAUCUGUGAAGGUGACUUUAUUUGGAAGAGAGUCUUUGAAGAUAUAAAUGAGGACCUCAAGAUGAGAUGUUCCUGGAUUUAAGGUAGGCCCUAACCCCAAUGAUAGGUGUCCUUAUAAAAGGAGAGGAUACAUAGAAUAAAGAUGGCAAU
This is a long non-coding RNA of Bos taurus (domestic cattle), 441 nucleotides long. NCBI's taxonomy places the organism in Eukaryota, Metazoa, Chordata, Mammalia, Artiodactyla, Bovidae. The record is from Ensembl.